Molecule: non-coding RNA, 114 nt
Organism: Solanum lycopersicum (tomato)
Lineage: Eukaryota; Viridiplantae; Streptophyta; Magnoliopsida; Solanales; Solanaceae
Source: Rfam
AUCUUCCGGUAGUCCUGUCGCAGAUGACUUUCGCCCAUUUAUAGAACCACACUUUCUUUAAUUUGAAUUCUAUGUGGUAGGACGAGAGUCAUCUGUGACAGGAUAAUGGAAGAU